AUCUAUUUACUGUGAAAUGUAUUAUUACUUGACGCUUGAGGGAUGCUCCACUGCUAUAAGGAUAGGCGGUGGGGAUGCUAACCGAGUCAUAAUCAAGCUUAGGCUUGGUAUCCUAUUAUUAUUUACCAAAAGAAUUCAGAAUUAAUAUUGUAACAUAGACCUAAAAAAUCUAUAAAACAACUUUUAACAACGGAUCUCUUGGUUCUCGCAUCGAUGAAGAACGUAGCAAAGUGCGAUAACUAAUGUGAAUUGCAUAUUCAGUGAAUCAUCGAGUCUUUGAACGCAACUUGCGCUCAUUGGUAUUCCAAUGAGCACGCCUGUUUCAGUAUCAAAACAAACCCUCUAUCCAACAUUUUGUUGAAUAGGAAUACUGAGAGUCUCUUGAUCUAUUCUGAUYUUGAACCUCUUGAAAUGUACAAAGGCCUGAUYUUGUUUAAAUGCCUGAACUUUUUUUUAAUAUAAAGAGAAGCUCUUGCGGUAAACUGUGCUGGGGC
Molecule: ribosomal RNA, 494 nt
Rfam family: 5.8S ribosomal RNA (bases 179-331)